GAUGAACGCUAGCGGCAGGCUUAACACAUGCAAGUCGAGGGGUAUAGUUCUUCGGAAUUAGAGACCGGCGCACGGGUGCGUAACGCGUAUGCAAUCUACCUUUCACAGAGGGAUAGCCCCAGAGAAAUUUGGAUUAAUACCUCAUAGUAUAGCAGUUUCGCAUGAAACCACUAUUAAAGUCACAACGGUGAAAGAUGAGCAUGCGUCCCAUUAGCUAGUUGGUAAGGUAACGGCUUACCAAGGCAACGAUGGGUAGGGGUCCUGAGAGGGAGAUCCCCCACACUGGUACUGAGACACGGACCAGACUCCUACGGGAGGCAGCAGUGAGGAAUAUUGGACAAUGGGCGCAAGCCUGAUCCAGCCAUGCCGCGUGCAGGAUGACGGUCCUAUGGAUUGUAAACUGCUUUUAUACAGGAAGAAACACUCCCUCGUGAGGGAACUUGACGGUACUGUAUGAAUAAGGACCGGCUAACUCCGUGCCAGCAGCCG
This 489-nucleotide ribosomal RNA is filed under the name uncultured bacterium. Its description in RNAcentral is "bacterial SSU rRNA". It matches the Rfam family "Bacterial small subunit ribosomal RNA", at positions 28 to 517 of the family's 1533-position model. The record is from RNAcentral.